Molecule: non-coding RNA, 360 nt
Organism: Plectropomus leopardus (leopard coralgrouper)
Lineage: Eukaryota; Metazoa; Chordata; Actinopteri; Perciformes; Serranidae
Source: RefSeq, a predicted model, not a curated record
GCCGGAGUCUGUGGUGUGUGUGGAGGGAACACACACCUUCACACUCAUCAACUUCCUCAUCAACUGUAAGAGCCUGGUGGCUGCAGCGGGCUCCCAGGCCGGGUUACCCCCGACACUGCUGGCCCCUGCUGCUUUCAGAGGGGCCACCAUGCACACACUCAAGGCCCGCAGUGUGAAUGUGAAGAGCCAGGUGGGUUCCAGCUAUCAGAACAUCAGCAGUCUGGAGAUCACAGGACCCGUCCUCCCUUCGUCUCUGCACACCAUCACAACCCUGCUUCGGCCUGCACAGAGAGGAAACUUCUCCGCCACUCUCUACACACACACACCGACUGCUGUCAUGAACACACACACCAACAAGGA